Molecule: non-coding RNA, 701 nt
Organism: Diceros bicornis minor
Lineage: Eukaryota; Metazoa; Chordata; Mammalia; Perissodactyla; Rhinocerotidae
Source: the annotation of a RefSeq genome assembly
AUCAGGGUCAUAACUGUUUUGAGAGGGCUGUGCUGUGAGGCCAACCCCUGAAGAUGCUGAAGCUUCUGCUGCUUCUGGGGCCCACAGGCUCUGUGCUUGGUGCUCUCGUCUCUCAACAUCCAAGUAUGGCUCUCUGUAAGAAUGGAACCUCCAUGAAGAUCGAGUGCCGUGCAAUGGACUUUGAGGCCCAAACUGUGUGUUGGUAUCGUCAGUUGCCGAAACAGGGCCUCACACUGAUUGCAACUUCUAAUCAGGGCUUUGACCCCACAUAUGAACAAAGUUUUAGACAGGAAAAAUUUCCCGUCAGCCAUCCCAACCAAACAUAUUCAUCUCUGAAGGUGAAGAGUGCGCAUCCCACAGACAGCAGCCUGUACUUCUGUGGUGCUAGUGACACAGCGCUGGGCAGAGAUCAGAGACCCAAACAACAACCUUUGCAACAGGCCCCUCUUCCCCACUCCACCAAACCCACGGAGCCCUGUGGAAGGAGGUGUGGAGAGAGGAAAACCACAGCUUCUCUGAUUGAGACAUCUAAUUUGGAUUACAAUGUUAUGUACUGGUACCAACCGGACCCGGGACAAGGACUGAAACUGAUCUACUCCUUGCAGGUUGUAAAUGAUGUUCAGAAAGGAGACGUAUCUGAAGGCUACAAUGCCUCUCCGGUGGAGAAGGCAUUCUUUCCUCUCAUCGUGACGUCGACCUAA